Molecule: ribosomal RNA, 656 nt
Filed under: Vibrio cholerae
Lineage: Bacteria; Pseudomonadati; Pseudomonadota; Gammaproteobacteria; Vibrionales; Vibrionaceae
Description: partial 23S ribosomal RNA
Rfam family: Bacterial large subunit ribosomal RNA
Source: RNAcentral
GAGCGUUCUGUAAGCCGUUGAAGGUGAAUCGUAAGGUUUGCUGGAGGUAUCAGAAGUGCGAAUGCUGACAUGAGUAACGACAAAGGGGGUGAAAAACCUCCUCGCCGGAAGACCAAGGGUUCCUGUCCAACGUUAAUCGGGGCAGGGUGAGUCGACCCCUAAGGUGAGGCCGAAAGGCGUAAUCGAUGGGAAACGGGUUAAUAUUCCCGUACUUCUGACUAUUGCGAUGGGGGGACGGAGAAGGCUAGGUGGGCCAGGCGACGGUUGUCCUGGUUCAAGUGCGUAGGCUUGAGAGUUAGGUAAAUCCGGCUCUCUCUAAGGCUGAGACACGACGUCGAGCUGCUACGGCAGUGAAGUCAUUGAUGCCAUGCUUCCAGGAAAAGCCUCUAAGCUUCAGAUAGUCAGGAAUCGUACCCCAAACCGACACAGGUGGUCGGGUAGAGAAUACCAAGGCGCUUGAGAGAACUCGGGUGAAGGAACUAGGCAAAAUGGUACCGUAACUUCGGGAGAAGGUACGCUCUUGAUGGUGAAGUCCCUCGCGGAUGGAGCUGACGAGAGUCGCAGAUACCAGGUGGCUGCAACUGUUUAUUAAAAACACAGCACUGUGCAAAAUCGCAAGAUGACGUAUACGGUGUGACGCCUGCCCGGUGCCGGAA